AGCGAACGCUGGCGGCAGGCCUAACACAUGCAAGUCGAACGGCUCUUCGGAGCAGUGGCGGACGGGUGAGUAACGCGUGGGAACGUGCCCUUUGGUUCGGAACAACACAGGGAAACUUGUGCUAAUACCGGAUGUGCCCUUCGGGGGAAAGAUUUAUCGCCAUUGGAGCGGCCCGCGUUGGAUUAGGUAGUUGGUGGGGUAAAGGCCCACCAAGCCGACGAUCCAUAGCUGGUCUGAGAGGAUGAUCAGCCACACUGGGACUGAGACACGGCCCAGACUCCUACGGGAGGCAGCAGUGGGGAAUCUUGCGCAAUGGGCGAAAGCCUGACGCAGCCAUGCCGCGUGAAUGAUGAAGGUCUUAGGAUUGUAAAAUUCUUUCACCGGGGAAGAUAAUGACGGUACCCGGAGAAGAAGCCCCGGCUAACUUUCGUGCCAGCGCCGCGGUAAU
This 448-nucleotide ribosomal RNA is filed under the name uncultured bacterium. RNAcentral describes it as "bacterial SSU rRNA". It matches the Rfam family "Bacterial small subunit ribosomal RNA", at positions 29 to 524 of the family's 1533-position model. The record is from RNAcentral.